AGUGCAGUACCAACUACCACCACCAUCACCAGUGCAGUACCAACUACCACCACCACCAGCGCAGCAUCAGCUACCACCAACAGCAGCGCAGUCCCAACUACCCCCACCAUCAGAGCAACACCAACCACAACCAGAGCAGUAUCAACCACCACCACCUACACAACAAAGCACCCACUGUCAUUGACACGACGUAAACGUCUAGCUGUUAACUACCCAACUACCACAACUGUUCCAACCACCACAAUAAACACCAACGGGCUUUAUAGAGCAUCAAUCCCUCCUUUAAGCAAACUCCCUUUGGAUUUCUCUGUUCAUGUGGACUCGCACCAUGCUCCUUCUUGUCUUGACGGUGAUUACUUUCCUGUCUUCUUGGCACCAACUCCAGCAGAAGGAGCUUAUCUUCCUGCAUUUAUAAACCAGCCUCUUGAAAUAAAAGUCAGAUCCAUGGCUCAGUACACAACGAUUCACGACUUGCUUGUUGUCGGACCUGCUGGCAUAUUGAAGGAGAAAGUCUCUUCAGACACAUACGUCCUAAAAUGGACCCCAUCUCCAAAUCAGCUGUAUGAUUAUUUCCCAGUUUGCUUCAUAUCUGAGGCAAG
Molecule: long non-coding RNA, 599 nt
Organism: Fundulus heteroclitus (mummichog)
Lineage: Eukaryota; Metazoa; Chordata; Actinopteri; Cyprinodontiformes; Fundulidae
Exons: 3
Source: RefSeq, a predicted model, not a curated record